Molecule: ribosomal RNA, 468 nt
Filed under: uncultured bacterium
Lineage: Bacteria
Description: partial 16S ribosomal RNA
Rfam family: Bacterial small subunit ribosomal RNA
Source: RNAcentral
GACGAACGCUGGCGGCGUGCUUAACACAUGCAAGUCGAACGGAAAGGCCCUGCUUUUGUGGGGUGCUCGAGUGGCGAACGGGUGAGUAACACGUGAGUAACCUGCCCUUGACUUUGGGAUAACUUCAGGAAACUGGGGCUAAUACCGGAUAGGAGCUCCUGCUGCAUGGUGGGGGUUGGAAAGUUUCGGCGGUUGGGGAUGGACUCGCGGCUUAUCCGCUUGUUGGUGGGGUAGUGGCUUACCAAGGCUUUGACGGGUAGCCGGCCUGAGAGGGUGACCGGCCACAUUGGGACUGAGAUACGGCCCAGACUCCUACGGGAGGCAGCAGUGGGGAAUAUUGCACAAUGGGCGGAAGCCUGAUGCAGCAACGCCGCGUGCGGGAUGACGGCCUUCGGGUUGUAAACCGCUUUCGCCUGUGGCGAAGCGUGAGUGACGGUAAUGGGUAAAGAAGCACCGGCUAACUACGUG